UAACUAUAUAGGCAAACCUAUCGAAAGGUAGGGACGCAAAGCCAUGGGUCUAACAAUAUUAAUUCAUGACUGCCAGGUUGCAUUU
RNAcentral lists this non-coding RNA (85 nucleotides) under Pelosinus sp. UFO1. Its description in RNAcentral is "c-di-GMP-I riboswitch aptamer". It matches the Rfam family "c-di-GMP-I riboswitch aptamer". Rfam says of the family: GEMM was predicted in a large-scale screen for bacterial structured RNA regulatory elements. Genes associated with GEMM are involved in a diverse array of functions, including chemotaxis regulation, signal transduction, secretion and chitin. RNAcentral also lists the same sequence under 1 other name. Lineage: Bacteria; Bacillati; Bacillota; Negativicutes; Selenomonadales; Sporomusaceae. The record is from Rfam by way of RNAcentral.